This is a long non-coding RNA of Panonychus citri (citrus red mite), 946 nucleotides long. RefSeq lists it as uncharacterized. The transcript is spliced from 2 exons. Lineage: Eukaryota; Metazoa; Arthropoda; Arachnida; Trombidiformes; Tetranychidae. The record is from RefSeq and is a predicted model, not a curated record.
UCCUUAAUUGCUUGAAAAGUUUCAUUCAUCAUUUUGCUAAUAUCAUGUUGAUGAAAUUCAUGUUUCUUUUACACCAAAGAAACAACAACAACAAUAAUGAUAACAAGUUUUCAUGGAAAAACAAAGAUAACAUUUUCACCUCCCUGCUGAUAUACUUUAUGAGUAUCAUGAAAAAAGAGCUUGAACCAACUAAUCAUAUUAACCAUAGAUAAAUAUACAUGUAUUUUCAUGAUGAAUCGUGAUUUGAUUACUUAGAAUCAAGUUAAUCAAGAGAGCAAAACUGAUGAAAAUGUUAAUACAUAUUAAAAAGGUGAACCCACUUUCAACUCUAAAAGGAUAACGAUAAUAAUAAUCAUAUGGAUGAUGAUGUUGAUUUGAAAGUUUCCAUUCCCAUCAAGUUAACUGGAUUAAGGAUUCGAUUAUUUAAAAUUAUUAAUUGUGUGGCAAAUAUUUUCUCACUGGUGACAAUAUUUAUAUUAAUACAUUUAAAAAGCAUCAACGUGAUGAUCAAAUGAAUGACAGUGUUUAUAGUAUUUGAUUGUUGUUAUUUUUGAUUCUCUAUUAAGCUUUGAUUAACCUCUUUAUUUAUCCUUGUUAUUUUAUUAUCAACGAAAUAACAAAAAUAUAAAGAUGAGGAUAACUAUGAUUAUGAAGAAAAGUUUCAAUCCCAUGAGCCAUGAUAAUAACUUUAUAAUAACCAUGAUAAUAAUAUUUAAAUCAGAAUGAAAAAAAAAAUCUUGAAACAUUCUGGUUCAUAAUAUUAUCAUGAUUAUUGAUUAUUCAGCUUCAGUUUUUGGAUGAUAAUAAUAUCAAAAAAAAAGAUCUCAAGCUUAUUCAUCAUAAUGAUGAGAUUUGGGUGAUUAUUAAGGAUUAGAGUUUACAAUUAGUGAAUUCUAGACUAUUCUUAUGCUAAUCACGAUUAAACUAAUAUUCAACUGUUGAACAA